UGAAUCUUUUCAUCGGAGGGACAUACAUCUCUCAGAUUUCAUUAAAAUAUCUCCGCUUUUCUUUCGAAGAUGAACGAAAGUCUUAGAUGGUUUGGAGCAUCUUAAGGGUGAGUGAUGACAGAAUUCAAAUUGUUUUGGGGGAAUUAUGAAAUUAAUUAGAAAAUAUGUAAGGGAUAAUCAACGGCUAGCUGUGCAUUAAACGAUUUGAAUGCAGGACGUGGAGGCGAAGAACCACCCGACACGCAGCGGAUGCAUUCAGAUCGUUUAACGCACAGCUAGCCGUUGAUUAUCCCGUUUAUGCCAUGGUCAUUUACCAGCAUUCACAUAUUAAAGAUGUUAAUAAUAUUUGUGCUGCAGUAUUUGACCGGAACGAUAAAAAUGACGGUUAUUUUCGUCUGUAUUACUAUUCAACUGUAACUGUAUGUUACUAUGGUUACCAAUGUUUAUAGGAAGCGCAUUAAUAUAGAACGUGAUUAAACUGACCUGGAACUACCUGCAGUUCAACGAAUUUAAUCAACACCUGCCAGCCAAUCAGAAUCCAGUAUUCAGACAGACCAUGGCAUAAAGCGGUAUGUUCUUAUUUUUACCAGCUUCUGCGGCGUGUAUGGCGUCUGGCUUCAGAACCUCACUGUGACUUCAGAUAAGAACAAAGAUUAAAUUGUAAGAAGAGCUGCUUGUAAGAGCAUACAGUACAUCUGAAACUGCUGAGGCUGGGAAGGUUUUUGACUAUAUUUCCGACCAGAUCAGCUGCUAUAGAAGACAAACUGAAAUCUGAGUGCAGAGACAAGCAAAGGAAUACUGCAAGACACUACUGACUAGGCUGUGCCCAGGUCUCCGGAACCUGCGACGACACUCAGCUCCAUCGGCCCUUAGUCUGCGGCUUCGGAUCCACCAGCGCUGUCUCCAUCGGUCGGCCCCCAGAUGUCGGCAGCCACACCAUCUACAACUUGGCUCCUCGCUCCCUCGACUCCGCCGUGUGUUGUCAGCACUGGGAUGCUCUGGGUCUGUGCCAUGUGCCAAACACCAUCUAAGCCGCCAGGGCAUCAUCGUCAUCCUCUCAUCACCAUCCCUACACCAUCUCCUCGUCCACCUCCAAAACCCCUCCAUCCCUCCCUAUUCUGUUGCUUGAACUUUAUCAUCUUCAGUCUUU
Long non-coding RNA from Onychostoma macrolepis, 1150 nucleotides. RefSeq lists it as uncharacterized. Lineage: Eukaryota; Metazoa; Chordata; Actinopteri; Cypriniformes; Cyprinidae. The record is from RefSeq and is a predicted model, not a curated record. The transcript has 4 exons.